Molecule: ribosomal RNA, 497 nt
Filed under: uncultured bacterium
Lineage: Bacteria
Description: partial 16S ribosomal RNA
Rfam family: Bacterial small subunit ribosomal RNA
Source: RNAcentral
GAUGAACGCUGGCGGCGUGCCUAAUACAUGCAAGUCGAGCGAACAGAUGAGGAGCUUGCUCCUCUGACGUUAGCGGCGGACGGGUGAGUAACACGUGGAUAACCUACCUAUAAGACUGGGAUAACUUCGGGAAACCGGAGCUAAUACCGGAUAAUAUAUUGAACCGCAUGGUUCAAUAGUGAAAGACGGUUUUGCUGUCACUUAUAGAUGGAUCCGCGCCGCAUUAGCUAGUUGGUAAGGUAACGGCUUACCAAGGCAACGAUGCGUAGCCGACCGGAGAGAGUGAUCGGCCACACUGGAACGGAGACACGGUCCAGACUCCUACGGGAGGCAGCAGUAGGGAAUCUUCCGCAAUGGGCGAAAGCCUGACGGAGCAACGCCGCGUGAGUGAUGAAGGUCUUCGGAUCGUAAAACUCUGUUAUUAGGGAAGAACAAAUGUGUAAGUAACUAUGCACGUCUUGACGGUACCUAAUCAGAAAGCCACGGCUAACUACGUG